Molecule: ribosomal RNA, 506 nt
Filed under: uncultured bacterium
Lineage: Bacteria
Description: bacterial SSU rRNA
Rfam family: Bacterial small subunit ribosomal RNA
Source: RNAcentral
CUGGCUCAGGAUGAACGCUAGCGACAGGCUUAACACAUGCAAGUCGAGGGCAGCAUAAAAGUAGCAAUACUUGGUGGCGACCGGCGCACGGGUGAGUAACGCGUAUGCAACCUACCUAUCAGAGGGGAAUAACCCGGCGAAAGUCGGACUAAUACCGCAUAAAACAGGGGCACCGCAUGGUGAUAUUUGUUAAAGAAAUUCGCUGAUAGAUGGGCAUGCGUUCCAUUAGGUAGUUGGUGAGGUAACGGCUCACCAAGCCGACGAUGGAUAGGGGAACUGAGAGGUUGGUCCCCCACACUGGUACUGAGACACGGACCAGACUCCUACGGGAGGCAGCAGUGAGGAAUAUUGGUCAAUGGGCGGGAGCCUGAACCAGCCAAGUCGCGUGAAAGGAAGAAGGAUCUAUGGUUCGUAAACUUCUUUUGCAGGGGAAUAAAGUGCAGGACGUGUCCUGUUUUGUAUGUACCCUGAGAAUAAGGAUCGGCUAACUCCGUGCCAGCAGCGGC